UCUAAACUUCUUUAACAUGAUAUUUGGGGUCUUUAUAUUCUGUUUUCUUCAGCUGCCAGGAAAUAAUGGUGCCUCUCACAGCAAGAGUGUCUUCCAAACACCUCCUUUUGUCAUGAAGAAAACUGGUCAAUCUGUUGCCAGAGAAAUCAACUGUUCUCACAGCAUAACCAAUUAUGAUGUCAUCCUCUGGUACAAACAGGACCAACAUAAAGCUCUGAAGCUUCUGGGAUAUCUGAAUGUAAAUAUACAGAAUGUGGAGAAGGACAUGAAAGGAAAAAUCAGCUUUGAUGGAAAUGGUCAGACACAUUCACGCCUCAACAUUUCUGAUCUUGCAUUAAAUGACAGUGGUGUGUAUUUCUGUGCUGCCAGUCAGCACAGUGCUGCAGAUUCCCCUCACGUCAAUACAAAAACUCUCCUUUAUCUGUCUGCAGAGAGACAACAUGUUGAGUCUCUCCAACACCUGCAGCUUUGAAGACUUCAGUCAGUGUUAUGACACCAGUGUGACAAAAAUACUGACAACAC
Molecule: non-coding RNA, 522 nt
Organism: Epinephelus moara (kelp grouper)
Lineage: Eukaryota; Metazoa; Chordata; Actinopteri; Perciformes; Serranidae
Source: the annotation of a RefSeq genome assembly